AAGAAUUGUUCGAGUACAUAGGCUAUGUUCAAUAGAAUAUAAGACUUGAUUUUCAAGUCGAUUCUGAGUCAAAUUUUUUGAAUACGAAUAUUCUUGACUAAUUAUGUUAGGUAACUAAUAAGAAAAUAUAAUAUGUUGCAAUUUUUAAGAAUAAAGUUUAAAAACAAUUAAUGAAAUGCAUAUGACACGAGUGUAUAGUUAUGCAACUUGACAUAUAUAAUAUAGUUAUCAAAAAUAUAUUAAAUAAAAUUCAUAUUACACAAAUAUAAAAUUUAAAUUUCUCAAAACAAAAAAAAACAAAAAAAUAUACCCGCCCUUUGAAGGGCGGGUCAAAAUCUAGUACAAUAUUAAAAUAGCAUUAAAUUUGGUGUUUUGGACCUGGUG
RNAcentral lists this long non-coding RNA (384 nucleotides) under Brassica rapa (field mustard). Its description in RNAcentral is "long non-coding RNA (BRAP_LNC003515)". The record is from RNAcentral. Lineage: Eukaryota; Viridiplantae; Streptophyta; Magnoliopsida; Brassicales; Brassicaceae.